Long non-coding RNA from Micropterus dolomieu (smallmouth bass), 392 nucleotides. RefSeq lists it as uncharacterized. The record is from RefSeq and is a predicted model, not a curated record. The transcript is spliced from 3 exons. NCBI's taxonomy places the organism in Eukaryota, Metazoa, Chordata, Actinopteri, Centrarchiformes, Centrarchidae.
ACGCAGAUUCAGGUUGUCCUCACACAGAGGAGCAGGUGGAGGUGGGGCUACGUACUGAGGCGCUGCUGGAGGCGCUCUCCUCGUUGUUGGGUGGAAGCGAGGCGAGGAGGCUGGAGCCUUACGGCAGGACUUGGGAGGCUUGGUCUUGGAGUCCUCGUACUCCUCGGCCCGGAUGAACAGGUUCAGCCUCAGGUUGUCCAUGAGCUCCAGGAUCUGUUCCAAGCUAAGCUGAGCCAGUUUACUGCUGGAACUGCAAAGACUGAGGAAGGAGACACCACCGCUGUUCAACAGGAACCACAGGGGGGUUAUAAGCAAGCCGCUUAUCAAGACGGGCCCCCACCCUGAGUCUCGGCCCCCGGGUUCCUAGCUGCUCCGGCCACCAAACCCUAAAC